CUUUAUAUGUAUGUAAAAGGUUAAGUCUGAUUUGCUCCAGUGCACUAUGGGAAUUGUAGGCAGCACAAAUGCUGGGAAAUGUAGUCAAAGUGUCUUCCUCUUUCUCUUUCUCCCUGUAAUGGCUGCCUGCAGUAAGGUAAUGCACGUAGGCCUGGCUUCUAACACAGGGUGAUGACUGAGUGGAGUUCAUUGCUUUCUGGAUUCCAAUGCUAACCAUAAAGGAAAUAUCAGAGAGUAACUAUAGAAUUACGGUAAGUUGCUGGUAGACUUUUAAUAGAAGACAAAAACUUGUAAAUUUACACUGUUGUCCUGUUUUCUCAAUCUCUAUGCUCAUCUGACCUUCAAUCUCCAGUGUUUAGCCAGAGGGGAGGGAAAUCUGGAAAAGUGUAAGCACAGUGUAAGUUCAUUCAGUUUUAGGACCACUUCUUUAGGGGGAGUGGGAUGUUAAGCAUGGCAAUAACAUAAAUGUUAUAUCACUGACAUGGCUAAUAUCAUAAUGCAUGGAUCACCCUACCAAUUAAGGGAUAAUUAUGGGAAAACUGAACCACAGUGAGAUUUAAGUGACUUGCUCCAGGUCAUAUAAGAAUCUUUGGCAGAGCCAGGAAGAAAACCUGAGGGCUUGUCUGCAUGGGGGUAUUGACCAGAAUAGUUCCCCAUGUGGACACACUUACUUCAGAAUCAGACUGCCUUUUUUUCCUGAUUUAGCUUGAUCCACUUUGGAAGUAAAUUAAAGCUAAACUGGAAAAAGGCUUUCUUAUUCCAGAAUAGAGCAUCCACACGGGGACCUAUUCCACAAUAACUUUUUGUUUUAAAUUCUCACCCUCCAUUAUUCCGGAAUCACUUCCCUAAAGCUAUGUCUUCACUGACCAAAAAAGUGUGUGUUUUCCUGCGUUAGCUAUCCUGCUGUAAAAUCCUAGUGGAGACAAGGCACUUUAGUGUUACUGCAAGAUAAACUAGGCAAGAUCAAAUGAGUGGGGAGUACAGUGCUGACCUUGACUAGCUUCCUUAUGAUAAACACUAUGGUAUCUUCACUUAGGAUUUUAUAGAGAGAGAACUCUUACUGUUUGUUUUUUUUAUCUUGCUGUAAAAAAAACCACAUUUGUGUCGGUGAAGACCAAGCCUGAAUCUCCAAAUCUUGUUCCUGCUCUGUGGAUCAAUCACACUACUAUACAUUUCCAUACAGACUUGGUGAUACUCUAGUCACAUCUGUUGAUCUGGAGUUCUUGGAAAUAAAUUUAAAGGAAAAAAACCCUCUCA
RNAcentral lists this long non-coding RNA (1257 nucleotides) under Gopherus agassizii (Agassiz's desert tortoise). RNAcentral describes it as "lncRNA (ENSGAGG00000005401.1)". The record is from RNAcentral. Lineage: Eukaryota; Metazoa; Chordata; Testudines; Testudinidae.